ACUCUGCUUGUGGAUUUUGUGGGCACUCAAUAUUACGAAAGAAAACAGGGACUGAACAGGGCAAGUGAGGAGCAAGCACGGGUUGGGUCAGUUGAUGCUGGUUCUGAAUCUGGUAUUGUUCCAUUCGCGGGUGCGAAAGAGCCUAAUGGGCCGAAUGCAAAGGUGUUUGGAGAAGAAGAGGGCGGUGCGAUGCACAUUGUGGGGAUCCACGCGCAUGCGGCGCACCACAGACACAGCCACCCUCA
Molecule: unclassified non-coding RNA, 245 nt
Filed under: Hevea brasiliensis (rubber tree)
Lineage: Eukaryota; Viridiplantae; Streptophyta; Magnoliopsida; Malpighiales; Euphorbiaceae
Source: RNAcentral